AUGCGUCAAGUACAGGAGCUGCUCGACAAAGGUUAUAUACGUGAAUCUCUUAGUCCUUGUGUUGUUCCUAUUAUACUAGUGCCUAAAAAGGAUGGUACGUCGCGUAUGUGUGUUGAUUGUAGAGGCAUUAAUAAUAUUACUAUUCGUUAUCGUCAUCCUAUUCCUAGGCUAGAUGAUAUGCUUGAUGAAUUGAGUGGCUCUACAAUAUUCUCCAAAGUUGAUUUGCGUAGUGGAUACCAUCAAAUUCGUAUGAAAUUGGGAGAUGAAUGGAAAACUGCAUUUAAAACUAAGUUUGGUUUAUAUGAGUGGUUAGUCAUGCCUUUUGGGUUAACUAAUGCACCUAGUACUUUCAUGAGACUAAUGAACGAAGUUUUACGUGCUUUCAUUGGACGAUUUGUGGUAGUCUAUUUUGAUGAUAUACUGAUUUAUAGCAAAUCUUUGGAAGAACAUUUGGAACAUUUACGUGCUGUUUUUAUUGCUCUACGUGAUGCACGUUUGUUUGGUAACCUUGGGAAGUGCACCUUUUGCACCGACCGAGUAUCUUUUCUUGGCUAUGUUGUUACUCCACAGGGAAUUGAAGUUGAUAAAGCCAAGAUUGAUGCUAUUGAGAGUUGGCCGCAGCCCAAAACGGUCACACAAGCGCGGAGUUUUCUUGGACUCGCUGGUUUCUAUAGGCGUUUUGUGAGAGAUUUUAGCACCAUUGCUGCACCUCUCAACGAGCUUACAAAGAAGGAUGUGCCUUUUGUUUGGGGUACCGCACAGGAAGAAGCCUUCACAGUAUUGAAAGAUAAGUUGACACAUGCUCCUUUACUCCAACUUCCUGAUUUUAAUAAGACUUUUGAGCUUGAAUGUGAUGCUAGUGGCAUUGGAUUAGGAGGUGUGUUAUUACAAGAUGGCAAACCUGUUGCAUACUUUUCUGAAAAAUUGAGUGGGCCUAGUCUGAAUUAUUCUACUUAUGAUAAAGAACUAUAUGCUCUUGUUCGGACUUUAGAAACAUGGCAACAUUAUUUAUGGCCCAAAGAAUUUGUUAUACAUUCUGAUCAUGAAUCUUUGAAACAUAUUAAAAGUCAAGCUAAACUGAAUCGUAGACAUGCUAAAUGGGUUGAAUUCAUUGAAACUUUCCCUUAUGUCAUUAAACACAAGAAGGGUAAAGAAAAUGUUAUUGCUGAUGCAUUGUCUCGUCGCUAUACUAUGCUUUCACAACUUGACUUCAAAAUAUUUGGUUUGGAGACCAUCAAAGAUCAAUAUGUGCAUGAUGCUGAUUUUAAAGAUGUAUUGCGGAAUUGUAAAGAAGGAAGAACCUGGAACAAGUUUGUCGUUAAUGAUGGAUUUGUGUUCCGUGCUAACAAGCUAUGCAUUCCAGCUAGCUCUCUUCGUCUUUUGUUGUUGCAGGAGGCGCAUGGAGGAGGAUUAAUGGGACACUUUGGCGUGAAGAAGACAGAGGACGUACUUGCUACACAUUUCUUUUGGCCAAAGAUGAGACGGGAUGUUGAGCGUUUUGUUGCUCGCUGCACUACAUGUCAAAAAGCUAAGUCACGACUCAAUCCUCAUGGUUUAUAUAUGCCUUUGCCUGUACCUAGUGUUCCUUGGGAGGAUAUAUCUAUGGACUUUGUUUUAGGUUUACCUCGAACAAAGAAGGGGAGGGAUAGCAUAUUUGUUAUCGUGGAUAGAUUCUCGAAAAUGGCACACUUUAUACCAUGUCAUAAAAGCGAUGAUGCUGUUAAUGUUGCUGAUUUGUUCUUUCGUGAAAUUAUUCGCUUGCAUGGUGUGCCAAAUACUAUUGUUUCCGAUCGUGAUACUAAAUUUCUUAGCCACUUUUGGAGAUGUUUAUGGGCUAAGUUGGGGACUAAACUGCUUUUUAGUACUACUUGUCACCCCCAAACUGAUGGACAAACUGAAGUAGUCAAUAGAACAUUGUCUACUAUGCUUAGGGCUGUUUUGAAGAAUAAUAAGAAAAUGUGGGAAGAAUGCUUGCCUCAUAUUGAGUUUGCUUAUAAUCGUUCAUUGCAUUCUACUACUAAGAUGUGUCCUUUUGAAAUUGUGUAUGGUUUCCUACCUCGUGCACCUAUUGAUUUGUUGCCUCUUCCAUCUUCGGAGAAGGUUAAUUUUGAUGCUAAACAACGUGCUGAAUUGAUCUUAAAAAUGCAUGAGUUAACUAAGGAAAACAUUGAGCGUAUGAAUGCUAAAUAUAAACUUGCUGGAGAUAAGGGUAGAAAACAUGUUGUGUUUGCACCUGGAGAUCUUGUUUGGUUACAUUUGCGUAAGGAUAGAUUUCCUGAUUUGCGCAAAUCAAAGCUAAUGCCACGUGCUGAUGGUCCUUUUAAGGUGUUAGAGAAAAUAAAUGAUAAUGCAUAUAAACUUGAACUGCCUGCAGAUUUUGGGGUGUAUGGGACAUUUGUACAAUCCACAUAUGAAGAUAAGGCAAAAGGAGAAGUUUAG
RNAcentral lists this ribosomal RNA (2439 nucleotides) under Triticum aestivum (bread wheat). RNAcentral describes it as "partial small subunit ribosomal RNA". Lineage: Eukaryota; Viridiplantae; Streptophyta; Magnoliopsida; Poales; Poaceae. The record is from RNAcentral.